Molecule: ribosomal RNA, 112 nt
Filed under: Lederbergia citrisecunda
Lineage: Bacteria; Bacillati; Bacillota; Bacilli; Caryophanales; Bacillaceae
Description: partial 23S ribosomal RNA
Rfam family: Bacterial large subunit ribosomal RNA
Source: RNAcentral
CCAUCGCGCAAGCGAGUAAGAUCCCUGAAAGAUGAUCAGGUUGAUAGGUCCGGUGUGGAAGUGUGGCGACACAUGGAGCUGACGGAUACUAAUCGAUCGAGGACUUAAUCAA